This 441-nucleotide ribosomal RNA is filed under the name uncultured Barnesiella sp. RNAcentral's name for it is "bacterial SSU rRNA". It matches the Rfam family "Bacterial small subunit ribosomal RNA", at positions 355 to 794 of the family's 1533-position model. Lineage: Bacteria; Pseudomonadati; Bacteroidota; Bacteroidia; Bacteroidales; Barnesiellaceae. The record is from RNAcentral.
UGAGGAAUAUUGGUCAAUGGGCGAGAGCCUGAACCAGCCAAGUCGCGUGAGGGAAGACGGUCCUACGGAUUGUAAACCUCUUUUGCCGGGGAGCAGAGGGGCCAUUGAUGGCAGGAUGAGCGUACCCGGAGAAAAAGCAUCGGCUAACUCCGUGCCAGCAGCCGCGGUAAUACGGAGGAUGCGAGCGUUAUCCGGAUUUAUUGGGUUUAAAGGGUGCGCAGGCGGACUCGUCAAGUCAGCGGUAAAAUUGUGUGGCUUAACCAUACCGAGCCGUUGAAACUGGUUGUCUUGAGUGCGAGUGAGGUAGGCGGAAUGUGUUGUGUAGCGGUGAAAUGCUUAGAUAUGACACAGAACACCGAUUGCGAAGGCAGCUUACCAAUACGUAACUGACGCUGAGGCACGAAAGCGUGGGUAUCGAACAGGAUUAGAUACCCUGGUAGU